Molecule: long non-coding RNA, 924 nt
Organism: Tribolium castaneum (red flour beetle)
Lineage: Eukaryota; Metazoa; Arthropoda; Insecta; Coleoptera; Tenebrionidae
Exons: 2
Source: RefSeq, a predicted model, not a curated record
UUUAUAUUUUUUUCUCUUUACGUUCUUGUGAUUCUGCUGCAAAAUCCAGUUUAAAAUUUUGCAAUUUUUAGAAGUUAUUUUAGGCAACCACUUAUACAAAGAAAAGUAUUGUGGAUUGUCUAUCAUUUUAUUCAAAAUUUUAUCAGGAUCAAAAAACGCAAGUUGCCUGACCUCUUAAAAUUGCAAAAAUUUGAAACUAAAUGGUAGGCAAACCACAAUACUGUAUCCUGUAUAGUUGGUUGCCUAAAAUAGUCUUUAAGAUUUAUAAAAUUUUGACAUGAAUUUCAAAUCAGGAUCACAGGAAUGCAAACAGGAUUGUUUUAGGUUAUGGUGUUCUCCCGAACCUAAUUUUUGAAUUGUGGAACUCCUGGACCAUUAUUUAGUUGGAAAUUUUAUUCUAAUAACGGUCAUCAUUGAAAUUUCGGUACUGAAAGGAUAAAAUCCGACUUUGAAUUCAUGUUGGGGCACAUAGGAUGAAUUUGUUGAGGACACAGGAUAGUAUGGUUCUAAUUAGUACUAGUGAGUUGAAAUUUAUUUGGUUACUAAAAUGGAUUGUUAUACUACACCAUGGUAGACGUGAGUUUAAAAUAUCUAGGUCCUUUGCCCAAACCGUCGAACAAGUGGGGUCCCAAUAAGGACCCAAUGAAACAGUAUGGCAAAAUUUAAGAUAAGAGGAUAUAAUGGGUUAAGCAUGAGUAUAAUCUGUUGUUGAGGACGAAAUUCAUGAUUGUUCCAACUCGGAAGAGGAACCUUUAGGAAGAGGUCGCAUGUUAUUCCAGAUACUAACAUGCUAGCACAUGCUUAUCAAGCAAAGAUGCCACAAAACUAUAUUUUUUCUGAAAAUAUUAUAACUGGUAGAUGUUAUGUAGGUACUCAUUGUUAUUUAUUUUAUUACAGCUUUCUUUAAUAAAGUGUUAAAAUGUG